This is an RNA transcript of Enhydra lutris kenyoni (northern sea otter), 3494 nucleotides long. It is a transcript of the gene named cell division cycle 123, with no coding region annotated. Lineage: Eukaryota; Metazoa; Chordata; Mammalia; Carnivora; Mustelidae. The transcript has 12 exons. The record is from RefSeq and is a predicted model, not a curated record.
ACUAUAUGGACCGGAAGAGUCCUUGAGCCAAAAUAGCUCGGCGGGUACUUCCGGGACGGGAGACCUGGGUUCCGGGAGGGUGCUGAAAGGAAAGGGAGAGGCGGCGGCGGCGGCAGCUGGAGGAUGAAGAAGGAGCAUGUCCUGCACUGUCAGUUCUCCGCGUGGUAUCCAGUGUUCCGAAGCCUUACGAUCAAGAGCGUCAUUCUUCCACUUCCGCAGAAUGUGAAGGAUUAUUUACUUGAUGAUGGAACUCUGGUGGUUUCAGGAAGGGAAGAUCCACCAACACAUUCUCAACCAGACAGUGAUGAUGAGGCAGAAGAAAUACAGUGGUCGGAUGACGAGAACACGGCUACGCUUACGGCACCGGAAUUUCCCGAGUUUACCACGAAAGUCCAAGAAGCUAUCAAUUCCCUGGGGGGCAGUGUAUUUCCUAAGCUUAACUGGAGUGCCCCAAGGGAUGCAUACUGGAUAGCAAUGAACAGUUCUCUGAAAUGUAAAACCCUCAGCGACAUCUUUCUGUUGUUCAAGAGUUCUGACUUCAUCACUCGUGAUUUCACUCAGCCAUUUAUUCAUUGUACUGAUGAUUCUCCAGAUCCUUGUAUAGAAUAUGAGCUUGUUCUUCGAAAAUGGUGUGAAUUAAUUCCUGGGGCUGAGUUCCGAUGUUUUGUCAAGGAAAAUAAACUUAUUGGUAUUUCUCAAAGGGACUAUACACAGUACUAUGAUCAUAUUUCUAAACAAAAGGAAGAGAUUUGCAGAUGCAUACAAGACUUUUUCAAGAAACACAUACAGUACAAAUUCUUGGAUGAAGACUUUGUGUUCGAUAUAUAUAGAGACAGUAGGGGGAAGGUGUGGCUGAUUGAUUUCAACCCGUUUGGUGAAGUAACUGAUUCACUGCUGUUUACUUGGGAAGAGCUGAUAUCUGGAAGAAACUUAAAAGGUGAUUUUAGUGAAGGAGACACUCUGGAGCAGGUAAGAGGUUAAAAAAGGAUUACAGGAAACCUUGUAAUCCAUUAAAUAAUUGCUCCUUUGUUCUUUAGGCAUCAACACAGAUUUACUAAUAGGUACUCAGUCAUGGAGGUGACCAAAAAGGGUGUGUACCUGAUUCACCUGGAAGAAUCUUGACCCUGGGUCAGUUCUAUGUUGGCUCUGAUCCUAGCUCCAGGCUUCUGACCCCUGAGAGAGGAAAACUGCAGGUGCCCAGCCUGUGGUCUUGUCAUAGUCAUAGUCAUGACCCCAUCAGGGGGACCUGACUGCAGUGUUUCCCUCACCAGCUUUCUCUUACACCCACGGUGACCUUCCACACCCCUGUGGAACCCUUCAGACCGCCCACCAGCCUCCCUUUCUGUCCCUCAGCAGAUGAUUCCACAUCCUCCUUCAUAGGAAGAGAAGCCACUGGUGCGAACUGACUUCGUGUAAUUGUCCUCAGACCUCUGAGCGUCCCUCUGUCCCUCCUCCUCAGUCUAACAGUUCCACCUGCUCAGCUGUUCCUUACCGUCUCUCAUAAUACCCGUGCUGCCACUCACUCCGUCAUGUUUCCCGUUCUCUUCUUGUCCACCCGCCCUGUCUGUGUUCAGGUAUCUUCUGUCUAAAGAGACAAACCUCCUUCAACCUUAUGUCUUCAGCCAGUAAUUCUGUCUCCUCAUCUUCGCAGCCAAACUUUCUUUGAACAACACCUUUCUGUUGCCCUUUUCUGCUUAUGAAAGUAAUACACGCCUGCUUUUGAAGAGUGUUCUGAAGUACCCACAGUCCUACCAUGUUGAGAACCACGGUUUAUAUUUUCUAUAUCAUAUUUGGUACACAUAACAUGCCUGUAUACAUACACAUAAACUUGUUAAAAUAAAUGAUUUUACUACAUAUGCAUUAUCUUUGUGUUUUUUAGUGUAUUUUAAAAAGCAGUUUUAUUUUUACACAGUCAUUUAAAAAACCAGGGAAUUAGAAUGAGGCAAGACUUGAAAUCCUACCACCUGGAAAUUGCCAUUCUUACCCUGCAGUUUAUAUUGUCCAGGCGUGGUUCUAUAAUCAUAUGUACAAGUAUUUUCCUACUGGCUUCCCUCAUGCUAGCAGGUGACCUGUGGUUUUGUAACUGCUCACAGCCGGUCUCCUCACUUGGCCUCUCCUUCCUGCUGCCUCUCUACCUGUGCACCCCUCCACCCGCGCGGUUGGCUUCCGCCCCUGCCGCUCCACAGAACCUGCUCUUGGCAGGGGCUCUACCGGCCGGCUGAGAGGGCCAGGGAACGAUGCACGGCAACAUUUGAAUGUGUUACCCUCUUCCGUGUUUUCACCACACAUUUUCCCCUGGUUUCCAUGAUACAUGCUCUCCUGCUGGGUUUCUUCCUGCUUUUCUGGCUGCUGCCUUGCUUUUAGUGUGAGGAUCUUUUGUCUUAGCUCUGAAAUACUUCUUUUCAUCAUUACUCUGUCUGGGCCCUUUCUGGCCCUGUUUUUCUAGAUCUAGCUCAGAUGGCUAUUUCCCUGUCAAGGCUCUCGCCCUAUUGUGUUGUGCUUGCCCCAGUUGCGGGUAAAGUGGGAGUAUCUCUCAUGUUCUCCAGAUUAGUGUGGCUUAGCACAAUUCGGGCACAGUUGAUUUUUGUUAAAUUAAUGGCUGAAAGAAUUGUCUUCGUGCUGGCAUCUUAGAGUUGGGGGCCAUUAAAUCUGAAUGUCAAGGAAAGAGAGUGUAAAUUAUUCAGCACAGUGUUAUUUUUAAAUAUGAGGGACACAGUGGAUAGAAACAGUUUGUACAAAAUUCACUCUAUGAUCCAAAUCCUUUCUUUCUUUUUAAACAACAUUAUAUUGGAGGUCAGGGGCUGACAGGGAAAGAGGAGCAGGCUCCUGCCUUUUCCCCAGAGUCGUGUCCUGCCUGUCUCACCGUCCUUACUCCCCUCCACGGAGACCUGGCUUUUCUUCUCAUUCUCACAGCUACAAAGCCCUGCCUCAGGAUCUUUGUCCUGGUUGUGCCCACUGCUUUCCAAGCUGUGCCCGGUCUCUGCCUGAGUUCCCAGACCUCCCAGGGCUGCUUUCAUCGUACUUUUCAGUCCACAUGUUCUGUCCUCAGCAAGGUAUUACCUGACCACCCCUGUGAAGUGGCCUCUUAUCAUAGCACCCUGUUGUUGUGUUUUUAGAACACCUCUCACUAUCUGAAAUGAUCUUGCUGUUGUAUUUAUUUGCUUAUUUAUUGACUGUCUGCCAGACUGGUUUACCAGUUAUCUCCUACACCUAGGACAAGGUCAGCGCAAAGUGGGUGUUUCCUAAGUAUUUGUCAGAUGACUGGUCUGUCAUAAGAUAUGGCCUGCUUUCUAGGGCUCUACGGUCCUGUUCCACUCAAGCUCCUGGCCUGUCUCCAUCUGCUGGACACCAUCCAUCCCUCACCUAGAUACCUGCCACCCAUGAAGUCCAAACCCAAGGCCUUCUGUCUCUGAAAUCCUUUUUGGCACAAGGCAACAUGAUUCUCCAGCUUUCCGUUGCACAAACAGUGAAGUGACAGUUCAACCCAGUCCCUA